This 253-nucleotide ribosomal RNA is filed under the name uncultured bacterium. RNAcentral describes it as "partial 16S ribosomal RNA". It matches the Rfam family "Bacterial small subunit ribosomal RNA", at positions 524 to 776 of the family's 1533-position model. The record is from RNAcentral.
UACGUAGGUGGCAAGCGUUAUCCGGAAUUACUGGGCGUAAAGCGCACGCAGGCGGUCUUUUAAGUUUGACGUGAAAGCUCCCGGCUUAACUGGGAGAGGUCGUUGAAUACUGGGAGACUUGAGUUUAGGAGAGGGGUGUAGAAUUCCCGGUGUAGUGGUGGAAUGCGUAGAUAUCGGGGGGAAUACCAGUGGCGAAAGCGGCACCCUAGCCUUUGACUGGCGCUCAUGUGCGAAAGCGUGGGGAGCGAACGGG